AUUGAACGCUGGCGGCAGGCCUAACACAUGCAAGUCGAGCGGAGCGGCGGACGGGUGAGUAAUGCAUAGGAAUGUGCCUGGUAGUGGGGGAUAACGUCCGGAAACGGGCGCUAAUACCGCAUACUAUCAGAUGAGCCGAGGGGGGCUUAGCUAGUUGGGGGGGUAAGGGACUACCAAGGCGACGAUCCGUAACUGGCCUGAGAGGAUGAUCAGCCACACUGGAACUGAGACACGGUCCAGACUCCUACGGGAGGCAGCAGUGGGGAAUAUUGGACAAUGGGCGAAAGCCUGACCCAGCCAUGCCGCGUGUGUGAAGAAGGUCUUCGGAUUGUAAAGCACUUUAAGCUGGGAGGCGUUACCUACAGAAUAAGCACCGGCUAACUUCGUGCCAGCAGCCGCGGUAAUUC
Molecule: ribosomal RNA, 407 nt
Filed under: uncultured bacterium
Lineage: Bacteria
Description: partial 16S ribosomal RNA
Rfam family: Bacterial small subunit ribosomal RNA
Source: RNAcentral